Peptoclostridium acidaminophilum DSM 3953 is the source of this 231-nucleotide non-coding RNA. NCBI's taxonomy places the organism in Bacteria, Bacillati, Bacillota, Clostridia, Peptostreptococcales, Peptoclostridiaceae. The record is from Rfam.
UGAAUCCAGCAUAGUAAAGUUUAACCAACAACUAUUAGUUAGCCUUGGAGGGAGACAGGCAACUGUCUCCUUUAAGCGUAGGCAAACGAGUUAGCAGGCCGAAAGCGAUAGCUGAAGGGAUUGAGCCACGAAAUUCGAAUUAGGAAGGCUGAUGUAGUUGUCUGUACAGAAAGCAACACUCUGCUAAUCGCUUUGGUGAGAAUAGCAGAGCUUCCUCGGGGUCGGAGACCU